UCUCAUUAAAACAAAAGGAACAGCCCAGGCAACAAAGCUCCUGAAAAUCGUAAAAUUCCACGACUUUCCUGUGAAAGCAUCAGAGCACAAAACCCUUAACUCCUCCAAAGGUGUCAUCUACUCCAACGAUCUACGCAACAUAGAAAUAGAAAUCAUCAAAAGCGAACUCAAAACACAAAAGGUCAUUGACGCAACUAAAAUUCACAAACAGAAAGAUGGCUUACCCCAAGAAACCGGACUGAUCAUCCUCACAUUCGAUACACCAACACUCCCACAGCAUAUUAUGAUAGGAUACGAACGAGUAAACGUUCGCCCCCGAACGCCUCGCCCCCUCAAAUGCAAUAACUGCCAGAAAUUCGGUCACCCAACCAAAUACUGCACAACCACCAAAAUCUGCAAAAACUGCUCCGAAGUACACCCCGCCGACGACGAUCUAUGCUCCAAGCCCAAAUUCUGCAGCAACUGCAAACACAACACCAACAUCCAAAACAACCACAGCCCACUAGACCCCAAAUGUCCGGAAUUUCUCAAGCAAAAAGAGAUCGCAAUUAUCAAAUCUUCCGAGAAAGUAGACUUCUUAACCGCAAAAAAAAUAUAUUUUCAACGCAACACACACCAAUCCACACCAUACGCCGAGAUAGUUGCAAAAACACAAACAGUAUCAUCGACCCCCAACCACCCUUCAUCAUCAUACAACACUCAGACCACACACUACCAAAGGCCUAUUACUAACUACGCAGACAUCUCAGACUCAAACACACACCCAUCCAAACCAACACAGCAACCCACCCAAGAAGAAAUGGACAUGGACACAGACCUCGAGGCAACAACUAAAACCAAAAACACCAAAACCAUCCCAGAUACCGACCGCAAACUCCGAAGCUGGACUAAAGAAAAGGACAAACUCAACCUAGUCACCAAGCCACUCAAGGCAAAAAAUAAAUCCGAAAAAACAAAAACUACAAACCUAGCGUCACUAUCCAACAACACCCUUCCUAGCCAAAAAACCCCAGGAGGAGACCCGCAACAACAACGAACAACUUGGAAUUUACUAGACAUUUUUUAUUAGCAUUUGAGCUUCGCGCCUACAGAAAUGAGGUUGAUAACACUACAUGUGUUGCGGAAAGCGUAAACUCAUACAUGUUGCGAAAGGCAUGCUGCAAAGAUGUUGCUGAACAAUGCUAUAUUCUAUUAAACAAAUUAAAAUUAUAAUUAAUUUAAAAAUGUCUUAUUGAACAUGUAUCCAUGAGUAUAUGCACUCGCGAAAAGAACUGACAUUGCACUGGAAUCGUUUGAGCAGGAUAAAUAAAUACCUUCUAUAUCGGCUGUCUGCCACUCCCAGGUUUUCGGUGUUUUAUACCAGCUUCAAGAGCAUUUGGGCCAAGGUUAGCCACUGGUGGGCACCUCUGAGUGGGCCCAACAAGACGUUAAACGUGUCUAUGUGAGGGACUUGAUAGCAGGACAAGAUUUCAUCCAAGCCCGACAAAUCUGACAGCAAGUCGCUCUCUUAAAGACAGGGAGUCUCUCACAGCCAGUUCGGCUUUUUGGGCAUGGCUCUCCACAAUCUACGCGAGGCUGCAACAACGGCGCAACUGCUUCCACUUGUGUAGACUGGCAAGCGGCCAAAUGCAGCGCAACGACACAAAAACAGCAAUGCAUAAAAUGGGAAAAUGGAGCCAGGUUUUUCAUGCUGGCCAUACCGGCUGCAGUCGCUUUGCUGUUGUUGCCAUGAGGUGAGCCGUAACAGAGAUAUUGCUGCUGGCCCGAUCUGGCCCGAUCCGGUCUCCGCUGGCCAAACGGUUUGUUUGCUUUCCCGUGUUUACCUUAUGCAAUGCUCAAGAGUUUUCAAUAUUUUGUUGCCAGACAAACAAAAACUUGAAGACUCUGCAACUGCAAAUUGACAAAGUUGUAAAAUCUACUAUUUCACUCUUCAUAUGCACAUAUGUAUGUAUGUAUGUAUGUA
Drosophila miranda is the source of this 1963-nucleotide long non-coding RNA. RefSeq lists it as uncharacterized. The transcript is spliced from 3 exons. Lineage: Eukaryota; Metazoa; Arthropoda; Insecta; Diptera; Drosophilidae. The record is from RefSeq and is a predicted model, not a curated record.